GUCCUUGUAGUUCAACGGUAGAAUCUCACGUUGUGGCCGUGAAGAUCGGGGCUCGAUUCCCCGCAAGGACA
This 71-nucleotide transfer RNA is filed under the name Bigelowiella natans CCMP2755. Its description in RNAcentral is "tRNA-His for anticodon GUG". It matches the Rfam family "tRNA". Rfam says of the family: Transfer RNA (tRNA) molecules are approximately 80 nucleotides in length. The record is from RNAcentral. Lineage: Eukaryota; Cercozoa; Chlorarachniophyceae.